Molecule: ribosomal RNA, 348 nt
Filed under: uncultured Helicobacter sp.
Lineage: Bacteria; Pseudomonadati; Campylobacterota; Epsilonproteobacteria; Campylobacterales; Helicobacteraceae
Description: bacterial SSU rRNA
Rfam family: Bacterial small subunit ribosomal RNA
Source: RNAcentral
GACGGGUAUCCGGCCUGAGAGGGUGAACGGACACACUGGAACUGAGACACGGUCCAGACUCCUACGGGAGGCAGCAGUAGGGAAUAUUGCUCAAUGGGGGAAACCCUGAAGCAGCAACGCCGCGUGGAGGAUGAAGGUUUUAGGAUUGUAAACUCCUUUUGCUAGAGAAGAUUAUGACGGUAUCUAACGAAUAAGCACCGGCUAACUCCGUGCCAGCAGCCGCGGUAAUACGGAGGGUGCAAGCGUUACUCGGAAUCACUGGGCGUAAAGAGUGCGCAGGCGGGAUAGCAAGUCAGAUGUGAAAUGCUAUGGCUUAACCAUAGAACUGCAUUUGAAACUGUUAUUCUA